This 424-nucleotide ribosomal RNA is filed under the name uncultured bacterium. RNAcentral describes it as "bacterial SSU rRNA". It matches the Rfam family "Bacterial small subunit ribosomal RNA", at positions 355 to 775 of the family's 1533-position model. The record is from RNAcentral.
UAAGGAAUAUCGGACAAUGGGCGGAAGCCUGAUCCAGCCAUGCCGCGUGAAGGAUGAAGGCGCUCAGCGUUGUAAACUUCUUUUGGACGGGGACAAACCGCUUCAUUUAUGGGGCGCUGAGGGUACCGUCAGAAUAAGCACCGGCUAACUCCGUGCCAGCAGCCGCGGUAAUACGGAGGGUGCAAGCGUUAUCCGGAAUCACUGGGUUUAAAGGGUGUGUAGGCGGUCUGAUAAGUCAGUUGUGAAAUUCCCCGGCUUAACCGGGUGGACUGCGAUUGAUACUGUUGGACUUGAAUCAGGUUGAGGUAGGCGGAAUGUGACAUGUAGCGGUGAAAUGCUUAGAUAUGUCAUAGAACACCGAUUGCGAAGGCAGCUUGCUGGGCUUCGAUUGACGCUGAGGCACGAAAGCGUGGGGAGCAAACAG